CCUACGGGAGGCUGCAGUGAGGAAUAUUGGUCAAUGGGCGCGAGCCUGAACCAGCCAAGUCGCGUGAGGGAAGACGGUCCUAUGGAUUGUAAACCUCUUUUGUCGGGGAGCACAAGACGCCACGCGUGGCGUUCCGAGAGUACCCGAAGAAAAAGCAUCGGCUAACUCCGUGCCAGCAGCCGCGGUAAUACGGAGGAUGCGAGCGUUAUCCGGAUUUAUUGGGUUUAACGGGUGCGCAGGCGGAAGAUCAAGUCAGAGGUAAAAGUGAGAGGCUCAACCUCUUCGAGCCGUUGAAACUGGUUUUCUUGAGUGAGUGAGAAGUAUGCGGAAUGCGUGGUGUAGCGGUGAAAUGCAUAGAGAUCACGAAGAACUCCGAUUGCGAAGGCAGCAUACCGGCGCUCAACUGACGCUCAUGCACGAAAGUGUGGGUAUCGAACAGGAUUAGAUACCCUUGUAGUC
RNAcentral lists this ribosomal RNA (459 nucleotides) under uncultured bacterium. Its description in RNAcentral is "partial 16S ribosomal RNA". It matches the Rfam family "Bacterial small subunit ribosomal RNA", at positions 338 to 795 of the family's 1533-position model. The record is from RNAcentral.